GGAUUGUGGCUCAGUGGCAGAGCACUUGCCUUGCACCUAUGAGGCACUGGGUUUGAUCAUCAGAACCACAUAAAAAUAAAUAAAUAAAUAAAGGUAUUGUGUCCAUCUACAAUAAAUUAAAUAAAUAAAUAAAUAAAUGGCAUGUAGCUCACUGGUAAAGCACCCCUGGGUUCAAUCCCCAGUACCA
RNAcentral lists this transfer RNA (187 nucleotides) under Marmota monax (woodchuck). Its description in RNAcentral is "tRNA.Ala". Lineage: Eukaryota; Metazoa; Chordata; Mammalia; Rodentia; Sciuridae. The record is from RNAcentral.